Molecule: non-coding RNA, 45 nt
Filed under: Schistosoma haematobium
Lineage: Eukaryota; Metazoa; Platyhelminthes; Trematoda; Strigeidida; Schistosomatidae
Source: RNAcentral
AUCCAGUUGAUGAGUCCCACAUAGGACGAAACGUGCAUUCUAGAU